RNAcentral lists this ribosomal RNA (497 nucleotides) under uncultured bacterium. RNAcentral describes it as "partial 16S ribosomal RNA". It matches the Rfam family "Bacterial small subunit ribosomal RNA", at positions 28 to 507 of the family's 1533-position model. The record is from RNAcentral.
GAUGAACGCUGGCGGCGUGCCUAAUACAUGCAAGUCGAGCGAACAGACGAGGAGCUUGCUCCUCUGACGUUAGCGGCGGACGGGUGAGUAACACGUGGAUAACCUACCUAUAAGACUGGGAUAACUUCGGGAAACCGGAGCUAAUACCGGAUAAUAUAUUGAACCGCAUGGUUCAAUAGUGAAAGACGGUUUUGCUGUCACUUAUAGAUGGAUCCGCGCCGCAUUAGCUAGUUGGUAAGGUAACGGCUUACCAAGGCAACGAUGCGUAGCCGACCUGAGAGAGGGAUCGGCCACCCUGGAACGGAGACACGGUCCAGGCGCCUACGGGAGGCAGCAGUAGGGAAUCUGCCGCAAUGGGCGAAAGCCUGACGGAGCAACGCCGCGUGAGUGAUGAAGGUCUUCGGAUCGUAAAACUCUGUUAUUAGGGAAGAACAAAUGUGUAAGUAACUAUGCACGUCUUGACGGUACCUAAUCAGAAAGCCACGGCUAACUACGUG